CUUCGGUUCUGGUGGCGACCGGCGCACGGGUGCGUAACGCGUAUGCAACCUACCUUAUACAAAGGGAUAGCCCAUGGAAACGUGGAUUAAUACCUUAUGGUACUGUAAAACUUCCUAGUUUAACAGUUAAAACUUCGGUGGUAUAAGAUGGGCAUGCGUAUGAUUAGGUAGUUGGUAGGGUAAAAGCCUACCAAGCCGACGAUCAUUAGGGGUUCUGAGAGGAUUAUCCCCCACACUGGUACUGAGACACGGACCAGACUCCUACGGGAGGCAGCAGUGAGGAAUAUUGGUCAAUGGACGAGAGUCUGAACCAGCCAUCCCGCGUGCAGGAUGACGGCCCUAUGGGUUGUAAACUGCUUUUCUACGCCAAGAAAUGUUACUACGUGUAGUAAUUUGACGGUAGCGUAGGAAUAAGGACCGGCUAACUCCGUGCCAGCAGCCGCGGUAAUACGGAGGGUCCAAGCGUUAUCCGGAUUUAUUGGGUUUAAAGGGUGCGCAGGUGGGGAUGUAAGUCAGUGGUGAAAUUUUGCGGCUUAACCGUAAAACUGCCAUUGAUACUGCAUCUCUUGAAUAUGGUUGAGGUAGGCGGAAUGUGUCGUGUAGCGGUGAAAUGCAUAGAUAUGACACAGAACACCAAUUGCGAAGGCAGCUUAAUAAGCCAUUAUUGACGCUGAGCAAAGAAAGAGUGGGGAGCGAACAGGAUUAGAUCCCCUGCUAGUCCACGCCGUAAACGAUGUUCACUCGCUGUCUGCGAUACACAGUAGGCGGCUAAGCGAAAGUGAUAAGUGAACCACCUGGGGAGUACGAUCGCAAGGUUGAAACUCAAAGGAAUUGACGGGGGCCCGCACAAGCGGAGGAGCAUGUGGUUUAAUUCGAUAAUACGCGAGGAACCUUACCUGGGCUUAAAUGUAGAUUGACAGACAAAGAGAUUUGAUUUUCUCUUCGGACAAUUUACAAGGUGCUGCAUGGUUGUCGUCAGCUCGUGCCGUGAGGUGUCGGGUUAAGUCCCAUAACGAGCGCAACCCCUACCGUUAGUUGCCAUCAGGUCAAGCUGGGGACUCUAGCGGAACUGCCUGCGCAAGCAGAGAGGAAGGUGGGGAUGACGUCAAAUCAGCACGGCCCUUAUGUCCAGGGCUACACACGUGCUACAAUGGUCGGUACAGAGGGCAGCUACCUAGCAAUAGGAUGCAAAUCUCAAAAGCCGAUCUCAGUUCGGAUCGGAGUCUGCAACUCGACUCCGUGAAGUUGGAUUCGCUAGUAAUCGUAUAUCAGCAAUGAUACGGUGAAUACGUUCCCGGGCCUUGUACCCACCGCCCGUCAAGCCAUGGGAGCUGGGGGUGCCUGAAGUCUG
This 1351-nucleotide ribosomal RNA is filed under the name uncultured prokaryote. Its description in RNAcentral is "partial 16S ribosomal RNA". It matches the Rfam family "Bacterial small subunit ribosomal RNA", at positions 78 to 1430 of the family's 1533-position model. The record is from RNAcentral.